RNAcentral lists this ribosomal RNA (497 nucleotides) under uncultured bacterium. Its description in RNAcentral is "partial 16S ribosomal RNA". It matches the Rfam family "Bacterial small subunit ribosomal RNA", at positions 28 to 507 of the family's 1533-position model. The record is from RNAcentral.
GAUGAACGCUGGCGGCGUGCCUAAUACAUGCAAGUCGAGCGAACGGACGAUAAGCUUGCUUCUCUGCUGUUUGCGGCGGACGUGUGUGUAACACGUGCAUCACCUACCUAUUUUUCUUGUAUAACUUCGUGACACCGGUUCUACUACCGGCUAAUAUUUUGAACCGCUUUGUUCAUAAGUGAUUGUCGCUCUUUCUGUCUCUUAUAGAUGGUUCCGCGCUGGAUUAGCUAGUUGGUAAGGUAACGGCUUACCAAGGCAACGAUGCGUAGCCGACAUGAGAGGGUGAUCGGCGAAACGGGAACUGAGACACGGACCAGAGUACUACGGGAGGCAGCAGUAGGGAAUAUGGCGCAAUGGGCGAAAGCCUGACGGAGCAAAGCCGAGUGAGUGAAGAAGGGCUUCGGAUGGGAAAACUCUGUUAUUAGGGAAGAAAAGAAGUGGAAGAAAAGGAGGAGAGCGUGACGGUACCGAAAGAGGAAGCAACGGCUAACUACGUG